AUUUUUUUUUUAUACAUUAGGAAAAAAUUUCCUCAUUUUACGGGUUUAGCUAGCGGCGUUGGCACUGGCACGCACACAGUCGAUACCACCCACCGGCACCGUGUUCGUUCUUUCGCUGCCCCGUCUAACUUCUUUUAACUUCAUCCUUCACUCCACCCAAAACGCACCGUUGCACAGUCCCCCUCCCCCGAAUCGCAUCUUCCCCAACACACACACACACACAAACCCUAAUUUCUCAAAAUGUGGUCUGCAACAUCCUCCCCUUCCAUCUUCCUCCCCCAUUCCCUUCUUCGCCCCCUUCCUCGCCGGCGGCCCCUCUGCGCCUCCCUCUCUUGGGCCUCCCCCGACCCAUCCGACGGCCUCGGAGGCUGGGCCCUCCUCGACGCCCCGGCCCAACCCGACAACAACAAAGUUGCGGCAUUUCCUUCUUAUGCCGUUGUUGGCUUCGGCACUUCGCUCGCUCUUGUGCUCGCUGUCUUUGCUGCCUCAAGGAAAGGUUUUAGUUUUCGAUUCCCGAGGCCGAUGUGGGGUGCUGUGGAGACUCGGCGAGAUCAAAACGACGCUCCGGAGUUUGACGUUUCGAGUGGGAGCAAGUCAACGCUGUCCGAGGCCGACCCGGAGAGCAAUGUUACCGUUACGCAAGCUGAUAAAUCUGUAGCUGUAGAAAAGCCUGAACGUGUUGUCAUCCCAGUUUCUGUGGAUUCUACCCAAGAAGAAGCACUGUCAGUCUUAAAAUCACUGAAGAUAAUUGAAGAUGAUGUGGAAGCUAAUGAAUUGUGUACCAGAAGAGAAUUUGCUAGAUGGCUAGUUAAAUCAAAUUCUUCCUUGGAAAGGAGUCCUAAACACAUGAUUGCUCCAAUAGUAUCACUUUCUGGAUCUGUAGUUACUGCAUUUGAUGAUGUCGGUAUUGACGACCCGGACUUUAGAUCAAUUCAAGUCUUAGCAGAAGCCGGUGUGAUCCCCAGCAAAUUAUCUUGGAAUAAUAGUUUCAAUUAUGGUGGAUCUGACUCUCAAGAAAACAUAAAUUUUUAUCCUGAUAGAUUCAUCUCACGACAAGAUCUAAUAGACUGGAGAGCUCAGUUGGAGUAUGACUUUUUCUCUGGGGUAGUUGACGAGAUAUCAAUUAAAAAAGCAGGUUAUAUGGAUGUGAAGGAGAUCACUUCUCCAGCAGUUUAUGUGGACAUGCUGGCAGGGGAUACGAGUAUUCUUAGAAAAGUUUUUGGACAGAGCAAGCGAUUUCAGCCAAACAAACCUUCAACAAAAGCACAAGCAGCGGUGGCUCUGACAAGUGGCAGGAUGAAGGAAGCAAUAUCAGCUGAAUUGUCAAGAAUAGAAGCUGAGAAUUCUGCCAGGCUGGCUGAGGCAGGAGAGAUCUGGUCUGAGUUGCUUAGCCGAGGAGAGAUACAGAGAUUUUGGGAUGAAAAGCUUAUUGAAGAGAAAAAUCGUGGUUUUGAUGUUGAGAGGCUUUAUCACGUGGAAGUAAAGAAUUUGGAAGAAGAGGAGAUCAAUCAAGAUAAGAUAUCUGCUGAGUAUUUAAAAGAAAAGGCAACAAUGGAUUGUCAGAAGCAGCUUCUGCUUAACUUAAAGAAAGAAGUUGAUGAGAUAUCAGAAAAAGUCGCAUCAGAGAGAGUCACAUAUGUAGACGAAAGGGAUGUUGUACAAAAGUUGCAUGAAGAUUUAGAAUUCAAGCAUGAAGAAUUGCUCAACACCAAAUCCACGCUGGAAGCUGAAAAAGAAGCUCUUCAGAUUCUUAGGAACUUGUCUGAAAGCUAGUUACACGUGAUUUUAUUUUUUACUACACUAGCCACAGACAAACAUUGACUCACUUAAGUUAGCUACAUGGGUCAAUUGAUGCCAUGAGGUUCUUUCAAGAGCUGAAAUUUCAGUGAAGCCAUUUAACCCAAGAUCUUGGGUAGAGGAUGAGGCAAGGAGAAGCCAAGCUCGGGCAGCUGUCCUUGAAGAGGUAGGGCGAAGAUGGAAAUGGGAUGACCAAGCUUGAAUUGGGACACGCCCUAUAAAAUGUAAAUUAACAUAUCUACAUAUUUACUAUAGCAUAAAUCCUUGAGGCUACUAUGCUCUAUUUGGUAUUAUGGCCUUUGGUAUUAAGGGUGAUGAUGAACCUCAUCCUUCGUUGGUAUAUACGGUUAUACACAUUCAAAAAGGAAAAAUACUGAUGUGAGUGGGUUUAAUUUCUGUGGUCCAAAAAAAUUUUCCUUCCCUCUCGUGAGUUAGAUUGGGGAGGAGGGAAUGCAGCCAGUCUUGUCUUAUCUAUUCAAAGUUCUGUGGGUCCUGUUUUGCUAUUUUUAUGCUUUGGAAGCUUUAGGAAAUUCUCUUUCAACUCUAAUGUCAUUUGUCAUAUACUAGCUUUUAUCACCAGUGACAGGUCUUGCAUAUGAUAGGAAGUGGAAUAAUUCCAAAAGGCUGGACAUCUAAUUAGGAGAGAUCGAUUUUUGUUCUCCAAUGAAAGCCUAUAUUUGAGAAUUCUUUCAUUUCAGUUUUUGUUGUUGUACUUAUGGUUGAACUGAUGAUUAAGAUGAACCUUAAUCUGUUCUAUGGUUUCCUUGAACUUUGAAAUACUCUGACUGGAUAGAAAUUAGAUUUAUAUUUGGAUAAUUUCUAUCAAAUUGAUUGUGCUUGGUUUUA
RNA transcript from Glycine soja, 2643 nucleotides. RefSeq lists it as uncharacterized. The record is from RefSeq and is a predicted model, not a curated record. NCBI's taxonomy places the organism in Eukaryota, Viridiplantae, Streptophyta, Magnoliopsida, Fabales, Fabaceae. The transcript has 12 exons.